Molecule: long non-coding RNA, 2907 nt
Organism: Hemicordylus capensis (graceful crag lizard)
Lineage: Eukaryota; Metazoa; Chordata; Lepidosauria; Squamata; Cordylidae
Exons: 3
Source: RefSeq, a predicted model, not a curated record
UGCAGGCUUUGGCCUGAUCCAGCAGGGCUCUUUUUAUGUUCUUAUGAUUAAGAUACAGUUGCUUACAAAAGCUUGUGUGCCACAAUAAACCAGACAGCCUCUAAGAUGUGCAACAGCAUAAUUUACUUAUUAUUCAUUUUAACUCAUGCCAAGGAGGCAGGAGAGAAAUGGGGGGAAGAUUUUGCACAGGACCAAAUGACAGGAGGUGCAUAUGCUGUGGUGGGAGAGGGCUGAAAAUCCAAAUACUGAUUGAAAAUAACCAGCCAUGGCUCCAUCUGCAAAUUUAUAGUGGGGAUACCCAGUUUGUGUUAGGUGGAAGUGGCAGCGGCAGCGAAAGACGAAUCAGAAACAGAAACAGAAGCAGUACUGGGAGGAAUGUGGGGUCCCUAGCAAAAAGCAGGAGCAGUCUGUGUCUGGUGAGAACCUGGAGGCGGUAGUAGGAAGUGUUGCAGGGUCUAUCUUAAGCAUCAGGAAGGAGUCUCUGUGGGGAAAUGCAGGGUUUAUUUUGGAUAGUGCAGUAUUUGAGAAACAGAGAGCCAAAGCAAAUGGGGUGGGAAAGUAGCCAUUCCUGGCAGCCUGGACAGUUGGGAUGGUAAAGCCAAAAGCAGCUCCUUUCAUUGCAGUUGCUGGAAGAUGGAAGAAGAAGCUAGACUGUUCUCAUCCCUGAGGCUCUCUGAUAAAUCCUUCCACUCCCUUUAGUUUCCCUGCCGGGGACCACAUCAGACUUCCUUGGGCUAGAAGCCCAGAUUUCUAAACCUAUAUUUGUUAUAUUGUUCAAAUAUAUUGUUGAACAAUCUAUAGAUAUAUUAAUAUAACAAAUAUAUUGUUAUAUUUGUAUCUUCAAAUAUAAAGAGCUCUGAAGUGUGUACAGAUAAAGAAGGAUCAGUCUCUUCAGGAAAAGAUGAGGUCUCUGCAUAGGGAACAGCUGCAGAGAGACAAAGUCUAAACCUAGUGAUUGUGGCUGUGGGGAUGAGGAUGUGGGGUGUUGCGCUCCUAAAUACUUCUUUCCCUUUGCAGAAGUCAUACUAUCACCCUCCCUCCCAUUGAUCCUGCUGCUACCAGAGUUUCACGGAAUUAGGCAGCCCUUUCCAUCCACGGCACAAGGGAUUGCCUCCUCACAGUUAAGAGCCUGUGUCCCAGGAGUUUUCCUGCAACAGGCUACAUUGGCAGCUCUAAAGGUCAUUUUCUAAAAAAGACAGAACUGGCGGAGAGAUGAAUGAGAAAAUGCAGCCUGCAAAGGCCUUUCCAGGAGAUCAGUUUAAUGCAUAGAGGAUGUCGCAAAACCAUACGUGUCGAAUGAGGCUUCUGCUGCGUCUCACACCUGGAAGGCUUGUUUUGCUUCAUGCUGUUUACACUGAAAAGCUGAAUCGCUGAGCCAGCCUGCGCGUCAGUUUUCCUCCUGUCAUGACUUUGCUUUCAAAGAAGUGCUUCUCAGGAAUUAUGUGACAUGACUGUCAGGAUGCUGCAGUUUUUCCUUCUACUUUUCAGCUUUUAAUAUUCAUCCUCCCUCCCUCCUUCCCUCUUUGCCUCCUUCCCUCUUUUGCUGUAUCUGCCCUCUGUGACAUAUUUCCUGUUAAUCAGUAUGUGCUGGUGUAAAGAGUUGGGUUUGGGAAAGAGGCUUGUUGUUGCAUGUGCACUGUGGCACGUCCCCACAACAUCUGCAGCAGCGGGGCCAUUUCAGACUUCUUCAGAACAACUUGGUGAAAGAUCUUAUGUGCAUACGUAAUCAGGGGUGCUGAUCCCCUCUGCAAACAUUUGAGGAGUUCACCCUUCAUUUUGCUGAACUCUGUCCCAUCAAAUGUAUCAACUCAUAUCUUUAAUCCCCUAAACCUAUUUUUCUACCCUACAAAAAGUAUCUUUCCUCACAGCCCCAAAAUGGAAGUGAGAAGUUGCUUCUCAAGCUUCCUUCUAUCUGCACCCCUGUACAAAAUCAUACAUAAAGAGCCUUCACGUAUACAUUUUAUGCACACAGGCUCUUUCACAAUUUAUGCUUAAAACACAUAGUGGCGAGGAGAGAAGACAGGGGUGCAAUCCUGCUCCCACAUGUGUGUUCACCACACCAUGUAGAAAAGCACUUUAGAGUGUGCAUCUUCUCUGAUACUUUCCCACAUCAAGGCUAGCUGCCUGGGAACAAAACUAGUCCCCCACACCCACAAUGCAUUGUGUGAAUAUGGAGUAUUGUACCACUGAUGCUAGAUCGCAACUACGACUACUGCAGCACUACAAAUAGUGCAACCCUGUAUUUAUAUUAAAUACAGUAUAACCUGUAUUUAACCUGUGUUUUUAAGGGGAUCGUCUUAAAUUCAGAGUCUCUUCUAUUCAGGUAAAUAUUUAUUCGUAGUUUGUUUUAUGCUGUAAACAGCCUAGAGACUUCAGCAGUGGGCAGCAUACAGAUUUAUUAAAUAAAUAAUAAUAAAUAAUAAACAUGGCAAGAUUUUUGUAUUUACCUUAAUCCAAGACUAGGUUUCCCUCCAAGUUCUUUGAUGUUAGAAAUCAGGGUCCUCUUCCUUUCAGGUAAAUACAGUAUUUGAUUAAGUGCUGUCAAGUCAGUGUCGACUCUUAGCAACCACAUAGAUAGUUUCUCUCCAGGAUGAUCUUUCUUCCACUUGGCCUUUAAGUUCUCUCAGUGGUGCAUUCAUUGCUGUCAUAAUCAAGUCCAUCCACCUUGCUGCUGUUCAGCCUCUUCUUCUCUUUCCCUCAACUUUCCCAAGCAUUAUGGACUUCUCAAGGGAGCUGGGCCUUUGCAUAAUGUGUCCGACUGAAGUAUGAUAAUUUGAGCCUGGUCAUUUGUGCCUCGAGUGAAAAUUGUGGAUUGAUUGAUUUGUUCUGUGAUCCAUUUGUUUGUUUUCCUGGCUGUCCAUUGUAUCCUCAAAAGUCUUCUCCAGCACUAAAGUUCAAAAGCGUCAA